Molecule: ribosomal RNA, 312 nt
Filed under: Stictopelta sp. CPL-2004
Lineage: Eukaryota; Metazoa; Arthropoda; Insecta; Hemiptera; Membracidae
Description: partial 12S small subunit ribosomal RNA
Source: RNAcentral
CCUGAAUAAAAGUAGUUAUAUUCUUUAUAACUCAAAGAAUUUGGCGGUUAAUUGAAUUUUUAGAGGAACUUGUAUUAUAAUUGAUACACCACGAUAGUUUAUACCUAUUUUUUAUUUGUAUAUCUCUAUUUUAUGAAUGUUCUAUUAGGAUUAUUUUCUUUUUGUUUAUGCUAUUAUGUUAGGUCAAGGUGCAGUUUUAAGUAGGUAAAUAUGAGUUACUUUAGUUUUAUAUUUAAUUUUUCUUUUUGUUUAAUCUUUAUAAUUAAUUUAGGAUUUGAUAGUAAUUUUAAUUAAUUAAUUAUUUUGAAUUUU